AGCAGCAGCAAUUCAGCACCAGCGUAGCAGAUCUCUUCUGCCAAGACCAAAAACAUUAACCCUGUCAUGUACAUUACCAUGCUAAAAGAGU
Long non-coding RNA from Sinocyclocheilus anshuiensis, 91 nucleotides. RefSeq lists it as uncharacterized. NCBI's taxonomy places the organism in Eukaryota, Metazoa, Chordata, Actinopteri, Cypriniformes, Cyprinidae. The transcript has 3 exons. The record is from RefSeq and is a predicted model, not a curated record.